GAUGAACGCUGGCGGCGUGCCUAAUACAUGCAAGUCGAGCGAACAGACGAGGAGCUUGCUCCUCUGACGUUAGCGGCGGACGGGUGAGUAACACGUGGAUAACCUACCUAUAAGACUGGGAUAACUUCGGGAAACCGGAGCUAAUACCGGAUAAUAUAUUGAACCGCAUGGUUCAAUAGUGAAAGACGGUUUUGCUGUCACUUAUAGAUGGAUCCGCGCCGCAUUAGCUAGUUGGUAAGGUAACGGCUUACCAAGGCAACGAUGCGUAGCCGACCGAGAGGGUGAUCGGCCACACUGGAACUGAGACACGGUCCAGACUCCUACGGGAGGCAGCAGUAGGGAAUCUUCCGCAAUGGGCGAAAGCCUGACGGAGCAACGCCGCGUGAGUGAUGAAGGUCUUCGGAUCGUAAAACUCUGUUAUUAGGGAAGAACAAAUGUGUAAGUAACUAUGCACGUCUUGACGGUACCUAAUCAGAAAGCCACGGCUAACUACGUG
This 496-nucleotide ribosomal RNA is filed under the name uncultured bacterium. Its description in RNAcentral is "partial 16S ribosomal RNA". It matches the Rfam family "Bacterial small subunit ribosomal RNA", at positions 28 to 507 of the family's 1533-position model. The record is from RNAcentral.